GUUUUCUGUUUCCAGAACUUCACUUAGAACUAUCUAUGCUUGAGUCAUGCAGUAGCUUGUGACAAGUUAUUAUUUUUUUUAACAACUUUUCUUCUCAGCAAUCACCACCUGUGAUGAAAACACAGAGCAGGAAGCUACAUCCCAGCAGCUAAGAAUAAUAGCAAGCAGUCCUUUGAACUACUCGGCUUGAGGAAAGGAUAAAAAGCUACUGAGUCAUCAGAGUGGUUCGCCACAUCACGAUGUGUCUCCUGCUGUUUUCUCAGGAGAUGUUGUCUACUUCCUAUGAGAAAGACCCAGGAAACUUUUGCUGAACAGUUGGCAAUUGGUGUGAGCUCUACUGCAAACAUUCUCUUGCUUAAAGUAACUCAGAGGUCCUGCUUCAGCAAUAUGAAAGCUGGCAGAAUGUCUAGACCCCUUCUCUUAGGUCACUUAUGGCUUACGUCGUAGCUCUCAGAAGGGACCCUCUUAUAACACCAAGAGUCCAUUGAUUCCAAGCGCUGAACACUUAUAUCCUGAUGCUUGCCAAUCCUGAACUCUGUAAUCCCCACUUCAUUCAUCUGCUUUAGUGCUUUUACAGAAAGAAAUAUUCAGGUUUCUAUUCAGUUGAAUUUCUGAGUAUCUGGAAAGUCGAUCAACCUGA
Molecule: long non-coding RNA, 640 nt
Filed under: Bos taurus (domestic cattle)
Lineage: Eukaryota; Metazoa; Chordata; Mammalia; Artiodactyla; Bovidae
Description: long non-coding RNA NONBTAT004214
Source: RNAcentral